Molecule: ribosomal RNA, 433 nt
Filed under: uncultured bacterium
Lineage: Bacteria
Description: partial 16S ribosomal RNA
Rfam family: Bacterial small subunit ribosomal RNA
Source: RNAcentral
AACGAACGCUGGCGGCAUGCCUAACACAUGCAAGUCGAACGAGACCUCCGGGCCUAGUGGCGCACGGGUGCGUAACGCGUGGGAACCUGCCCGUAGGUUCGGGACAACUCCCCGUAAGGGGUGCUAAUACCGGUUAAUGUCAUCGCACCAAAGAUCUCUCGCCAUUGGAUGGGCCCGCGUUGGUUUGGCCGGUUGGUAGGGGAAAAGCCUGUCAAGGCGUUGAUGCAUGGCUGGUCGGUGAGGAGGACACGCCACACUGGGGCUGAGACACGGACCAGACCGGUACGGAGGGGAGCGGUGUGGAAUAUAGUGCGAUGAGGGAUAGCGUGGUCAAGCAGUGCGGCGGAAGAGAGGAAGGGCUUAGGGUAGUAAAGCUCUUUGACACGGGGUGAGAAUGACAGUACCGGGUAAAUAAGCUCCGGCUAACUCCGUG